This 206-nucleotide ribosomal RNA is filed under the name uncultured bacterium. Its description in RNAcentral is "partial 16S ribosomal RNA". It matches the Rfam family "Bacterial small subunit ribosomal RNA", at positions 568 to 774 of the family's 1533-position model. The record is from RNAcentral.
UUCGUAGGUGGCCAACUAAGUCAUACGUGAAAUCCCUCAGCUUAACUGGGGAACUGCGUCUGAUACUGGUUGGCUUGAGUGCAGGAGAGGAACGCGGAAUUCCAGGUGUAGCGGUGAAAUGCGUAGAUAUCUGGAGGAACACCGGUGGCGAAGGCGGCGUUCUGGACUGCAACUGACACUGAGGAACGAAAGCCAGGGAGCAAACG